AAUAGAUACCCCGGUAGUCCACGCCGUAAACGAUGAAUGCUAGGUGUUAGGGGUUUCGAUACCCUUGGUGCCGAAGUUAACACAUUAAGCAUUCCGCCUGGGGAGUACGGCCGCAAGGCUGAAACUCAAAGGAAUUGACGGGGACCCGCACAAGCAGUGGAGUAUGUGGUUUAAUUCGAAGCAACGCGAAGAACCUUACCAGGUCUUGACAUCCCCCUGACCGGCGCAGAGAUGCGCCUUUCCCUCGGGACAGGGGAGACAGGUGGUGCAUGGUUGUCGUCAGCUCGUGUCGUGAGAUGUUGGGUUAAGUCCCGCAACGAGCGCAACCCUUGACUUUAGUUGCCAGCAAGUAAGGUUGGGCACUCUAGAGUGACUGCCGGUGACAAACCGGAGGAAGGUGGGGAUGACGUCAAAUCAUCAUGCCCCUUAUGACCUGGGCUACACACGUACUACAAUGGCCGGUACAACGGGAAGCGAAGGAGCGAUCCGGAGCGAAUCCUUUAAAGCCGGUCUCAGUUCGGAUUGCAGGCUGCAACUCGCCUGC
This 544-nucleotide ribosomal RNA is filed under the name uncultured bacterium. RNAcentral's name for it is "bacterial SSU rRNA". It matches the Rfam family "Bacterial small subunit ribosomal RNA", at positions 777 to 1319 of the family's 1533-position model. The record is from RNAcentral.